CCCUUAGAUGUUCUGGGCCGCACGCGUGCUACACUGAGUGGAUCAGCGGGUCAGGUUGCGCGAAAGUGUUUCCUAAUCUUGAAAUCCGCUCGUGAUGGGGAUUGACGGUUGCAAUUUUCCGUCAUGAACGAGGAAUACCUUGUAAGCGCGGGUCAUCAUCCCGCGCUGAAUACGUCCCUGCCCUUUGUACACACCGCCCGUCGCUACUACCGAUUGAACGGUUUAGUGAGGGCCUCGGAUUGGUCUCGGCCCGCUCUUUACCGGGCGGCGCCGUUGGUCGAGAAGACGCUCGAACUUGAUCGUUUAGAGGAAGUAAAAGUCGUAACA
Molecule: ribosomal RNA, 327 nt
Filed under: uncultured eukaryote
Lineage: Eukaryota
Description: partial 18S ribosomal RNA
Rfam family: Eukaryotic small subunit ribosomal RNA
Source: RNAcentral